Molecule: ribosomal RNA, 440 nt
Filed under: uncultured bacterium
Lineage: Bacteria
Description: partial 16S ribosomal RNA
Rfam family: Bacterial small subunit ribosomal RNA
Source: RNAcentral
CCUACGGGGCGCAGCAGUGGGGAAUAUUGCACAAUGGGGGAAACCCUGAUGCAGCGACGCCGCGUGAGUGAAGAAGUAUUUCGGUAUGUAAAGCUCUAUCAGCAGGGAAGAAAAUGAUGGUACCUGUUUAAGAAGCCCCGGCUAACUACGUGCCAGCAGCCGCGGUACUACGUAGGGGGCAAGGCUUAUCCGGAUUUACUGGGUGUAAAGGGAGCGUAGACGGCAGGACAAGUCUGGGGUGAAAAGCCGGGGCUUAACCCCGGAACUGCUUUGGAAACUGUGCAGCUAGAGUGGAGGAGAGGUAAGUGGAAUGCCUGGUGUAGCGGUGAAAUGCGUAGAUAUUAGGAGGAACACCAGUGGCGAAGGCGGCUUACUGGACUGUAACUGACGUUGAGGCUCGAAAGCGUGGGGAGCAAACAGGAUUAGAUACCCGGGUAGUC